AGGAGUUAGCCACAGGGAGGGCCGCGGGCCUGGGCUGAGUUGUGGGGGAGGAGACAAAGGGGUGUGAGCCCGCCUGGGGAUGAGGCCUGGUGUGGUGGCAACUGACCUUAGCUUCGCGGGCUGACAGCUCUGGCCCAGGGCGGUGGCAGUGCUCCCUUUUGGACUUUUCCUGUAGGUUCCGUGCUAACCUCUUCUGUGAGCUCACUCUGCCCCUCCUCCUCCUCCUCCUCCCUUUAACUCCCUCGAGGUUCCCCAUUGGCUUAAGCGUUGCUUCUGGUAAUCUGGUAAGCCCGGGAAGUUGCUCCAGUCCCUGUUGGAGUCGGUACUGCUGUGUUCAUCAUGGCGAGCUGAUGGCACCAGGAGGAUGGAGCCCCUGGCCAGUGUGAGUCCUAGCAGUGCAGGAGGGGAGACCCUGGAGGAGAGAGCCCGCCUAAAUUGAUGUCUGCAGAUUGAAUUUCCAGAGGCUUAGGAGGAGGAAGUUCUCCAAUGUCCCGUGUCCAGGCCUUGGCUCAGGAAGCCUUGUAUUCAGGAGGCCACCCUUUAAGGGUGUCAAUGAGCUUGUGAGAGGGUGAUGGUUCCAAGUCCCAAGCAGAUGCAUCCGGGGUCGUCAGCAGAUGUGUUGAGUGUUUGAUCCGGAGCACCAACCUCUGGGCACGUUGAAUGCCAGCAGGCACCUCUCCUGUUCGGGGGUGGAGGUUUUCCGAUGGCUGCGUCUUCUAAUGCCUCCUGUCAUGCUAGUUCUGUGCUACGAACCUUGCUUCCAGAAGACUCUUAAGAUGUAGAACAUUUUAACGCUGAUGCCUCAACGCAGAGUGAUGCCUGGUAGAUGGAGCUUGCAGAUGGAGCCCAGGGACCCUGUCAUCUACUCACCUGCCUGCCCCAGCCUCGGUCGGAGGAAUUCUUAGUGUGAUGAUGUAACCUGUGUGUCCAGAAAGUGUUCACUGUUGAAACGCCUUAGGCCAAUACUCACAGGAAGCCACCUGGCAAACUGAGGGGGUCAUUGUGUUGUGCUGUGGUCUGGGAGGGUACAAGGUGGUGCUGCGCAAGUGGGGAUAGAAAUGCAGGUCUGGUUUGGGCAUUCCUACUACAAGAAGGGUGUGGUCAGGGUACUGAUAGUGAUCUCUGCUCCAUCUUGCCCUAUAUACUUUUUAACUUGAAUUUUAUUUGAUUAGAUUUCAAAGUAAUUUUAGUCUUCAAAUGAGGGGACCCCGAGGUGAGGGAUUGGGAGGGAGGGGAUGAUUUGGCCCUGGCGCUGGGGACGGGGAGGGGGGGAAAGAAAGGGAGAGGGUUGCGAUUAGAUGUGGGUUCUGUAGGGUGGGAGUGGUUGGGAGUGUGGGUCGGAGGGAAUUUUCUGGAGAAAAUAUCAAUAGGCAGAGCUCUGGGGAGUUACGUAGAGCUCGUGGGAGAAGAAAAUGUUAGUUAAUAGUAAAUUGUUAACACUAGUUGUUGCUUGGAAGCGCAAAAGUUGCUUGCAAAUUUUCUAAAAUGCUUAGAACUCUUAAUUGCAGGAAGGAAAGCAAAAUUGUUUUGCUUUGCAAGAUGGGGAGGACUGGAAAAGGUAACAGCCUGGUUAUCAGUCACUUGAAAGACUGGUGUCAGGAACUUGCAUCAGCAGAUUAACAUCUUUCACCGCUUUGCAAACUUCAAAGUGGUUUAUCUGAAUGUGUGCAGAAUCCCGAGCAGUCUUAAGACUCUAAAUACCCAAAUUGAGGGCUUUUGAAGUAUUAUGUUUCAGAUUUUGGUGUGCACUUAAGAUGGUCAGAUGUACUUUUCUGGGUUUGUAACAUCUUAGCUGAGGUUUUGCAAUUGAAAACUUGAGCAGAGUGAAAAUGGUUUCUAGAGGAAUUCCGUAUGUCAUCUCCUGCCUUAUUAAACACAUCUCUUGUCUUUGUGAUUGGUACUACUACCAGCAGAAGUUUUUCCCAUUAACCUUUUUGUCCUUGUUGUGACAAGAAGAACGUAAUAACCUUGUGACCGCUGUCGUCACUGUAUGUUUGGUAGCAAAUAGUCCAUGUAUCCUUGAUAAGGUUUCAGUUCAUAAUCCGCUGUAUCUUUAGUUUGAAUGUUUGUGCUUUUUAAGUGACCCAGUACUUCAUGUGGGAAACUAUUAAACCAAAAUCAGUUUUGGAAAUGAGAACAAAACUAGGGCUGGGCAAGUGCUUUAGAUACGGUCUGUAAAAAUCCAGGGGAAGAUCUGAACUCUUAUGAUACUUGUUUUCUGAGAUGCACCUAUUUAAUUGGUAAAGUAACAGCUGUGGCUUUUUAUCAUCUCCCUUUUCCCCUUAAAUUUACUUUGAAAAUUUUAAAUCCCCACUACUUAUUACCCUUGGGAGUUACGUCUUCUGGGUUCUUUGGUGAUGUUUAAAAAUAUGUUGACAUGUAGUUCAAUUCUUAACCUGUGACUUGGGCAUGAUGCGGUGACUCAUUGGAAUUUGAAGAGCACCAGUCACGCGUGUCGGGAAAUAUGUUGCGUUAUGCUGUUGUGAAAUCGAAACUGUAAAAGUAGGUGGUGAAAAUCACGUCUCUGUUGCUCUGUGUGGUGAGAACCAGUCCUGUUGCAUCAUGUAUGAUGACUAAUCAUUUUUCUUCCCCUUCACAGCACAAAUAAAGGUUUGAGUUCUAAACUCA
This 2628-nucleotide long non-coding RNA is filed under the name Sus scrofa (pig). RNAcentral describes it as "lncRNA (ENSSSCG00030018037.1)". The stretch from base 329 to 486 matches the Rfam family "Nuclear enriched abundant transcript 1 conserved region 3". The record is from RNAcentral. Lineage: Eukaryota; Metazoa; Chordata; Mammalia; Artiodactyla; Suidae.